This 2868-nucleotide long non-coding RNA is filed under the name Zea mays. RNAcentral's name for it is "long non-coding RNA (ZMAY_LNC003247)". The record is from RNAcentral. Lineage: Eukaryota; Viridiplantae; Streptophyta; Magnoliopsida; Poales; Poaceae.
CGAAACACCAGCACCAGAAGCUACCGCGGGGGAAGGAUCUAGGUUGGGGAAACCAUGUGUCGCCGCCAUUACGGCUGGGAAAACUGCCGCCACCGCGGGACCUCGCCUGGGUUGCCGUUUGGGUCAUGUGGUCUGGCCUGGGGGCUUCACAACAUUGCCUGGGAGUUGAUCAUGGUUGUUCUGGACGGAAUGGUGCUCCGUGGCUCCAUCGAUUGCUCACCGGCACUGAAGCACCACCGCGGCGCCGCUUCAUGCUGCGGGCCGGCCUCACCACAACGCCUUAGACGGUAAUAAUUUGGCCCGUUAAUUUGCCUUCGCUCUCGCAUCGUGUAGCGUGUCUCCAAUCGUAGGUUAGCUCACUCGGCUUUCGCCUAGGGCCGCCGAUGGCGCGCCGCUGUGCAGGGAGGAUCCUGUGCGCCGCCACUUGGAGCCGACAGGGGAGGAAGAGUGCCCAGUGACCUUUGACCGUGCCAUUGGAUCUGGGUCUAACGACCAAGAUCGGAUCACGUUUCAUCAAAUCAUGAUCGUUGUGAUAGUAAUGGACGACUGAUAUCUGUAGUAAAGAUACCGAUUCGAUAUUUUAAAUCGUUGCCGUUAAUCGGUCUGUGGAUGGCGUAGAUUAGCUCAAUCAUACCCCUUUGGCCCGAUUAAACCUAGGUCGUUGGGAUAUGAUCUGAGGGCUCAAGGCUUAGCAGGGUGUGGCACGUUUCUGGCCAUUGAUCAGGAAUCCUGUGGCAAUGGGCUCAUACCAAUUCAUGCGGGGUGAUAAUCUAAUCCGAACCGAGGAGCUCUGAUUGGACGGUUGUGAAUGGCCGAUACCCCUUCGACCAGGGUAAUAUGCAAAGAAGACCUCGUAGUUUAUCAAAUCAACCCCCGGUCUAGAACUAUAGGAAAAUCAUCACUAUCAGGCCCCAAAAUUUAUAAAACCGACCCUAGGGAAUUCCAGAAUAGUGUCCGCCGUCCAAAAGACUUCCAGGAAAGGUUAAAUGAAUUUCGAAUUUAAUUCUAAAUAUAGAAAUAAAUCACAAAAACUUAUAAAUCCCGCUGUUAGUUUGUUUUAACUCCGAUUUAAUCCGUUCGAGUUGCGAUAGCUCCGUAAGUAAAUUACCUACGCUAUAGUAACAUUAUUUUAUCAAGUGACAUGUUUUCGAAAAUAAAUAUUAUGUUUAACCUAUGUUAGUAGAUUAACCCUUUUAAUCUAACACUUAAACUUUAGAAAUUCAUAACUCCUCCGUUUUAAUUCCGAAUUGAUUCAUUCCAGUUGUGUUAGUUUCGUAUAAAUAUUUAAUAUGCAGUAACAUCAUAAAUUAUACUAUGUCGCACACUCUUAUAAUUACAUAUUUAUUUAUUCUUUGUCUACCAGAUUAACUCUACUAAUAUAGGUUAAUCUCUCUAUAAAUAUAAUCUGAGUAAACGGUAACUCCUAAUCAAGUUAUAAUCUAGAUUAAAGUUGAUUAGUUAUUUAGAAUAUAUUUUCUCAUAUACUGUGUACUAAUCAAUUUAUAAUAUAAUUCAAAUAUUCAAACCACAUAGAUCUCCUGUAAAUCAUAACUCGGUAACCGUAACUCCAAUUUUAGUGGUUCUCGAACACGUGAUCUCAUAGCUUCACGUAGAUCAUUAUUAUUCAGUUUGUACUUAUGCUUGGUGUGAUGUUAAUUUUAUCUAUACCAUGUUUAUUUGUAUUGCUACGACUAGCAGUGAGGUCACGAGGAUCUGCAGAAUCAUCCUGGUACCUGGAAUCUCAAGUGCCAGGCAAGUUGUGCCCUUAACCACUUUAUACCCAAUAAUGUUCUUUAUUAUCACUCAUUAAUACAUAGGUUUAAUUUUGAUGUGACCCAAUAGGUCACCCCAGUCUGAUUAUCUUUUACCUUGUUUACCCUGAAUCACUUGGGUAGUUCUGCUAUUGCUUUAUAUGGUUUUGGGUUAAUAUUUCAUUAUAUCCAUGUUCCAAUUAUUUUGUUAUUUUAUUUAUGUUCAUGUCAAGAUCAUUAUCUUUAAUUGGAACAUGGAGCUUAACUUGAGAAACAUGUUCCACCACAAGGGAGGAAUGGGACCCCUUAGCUAACUAAUUAGGAAAGCUAGUGGAAGACUACCUUACCUGAAAGGAGCAAGGGCAGUAGGGGGUUGCAUGCAAGGAGGUUCUCGGGUUGAUUUUGCUGCUAUGGCGGUCAGACGGGGAAGUCUUGCAAGUGCUCUUUCCAUAAACUGUAGCGGGUUUUCGGAAGCUAGUGGAACUUUGUAAAGGCCUUGUAGUGGAUCCCUAGCCAUUCACCUCGGUAGUGUCUAAGGGCCUUGCAAACCCUAGUGACAUGGGAUACACUUUUUGUGGGUACAGGGUACAACCUCUGCAGAGUGUAAAACUAGUAUACUAGCCGAGCUCAUGGUCAUGAGCAGCUCUGGACUCUCGCAUGAUUAAAUUAUAGAACUUAAAUUCAAUUUGUCAUUUGCAUUUGCAUGGGAUUAUUUAUUAAUUUUGUUCUAUUAUUUAUUAUAGUUUGGUAUUUACUUACACUUAGUAACUGCUAAUAAAAUUUUGACCAACUUAUAAAAGCAAUGCUCAACUUCAACCUUUAUUUUGUUGAUCAGCCUUACACUUCACAUGAACUCCCACCUUUUGUGAGUUCAUGCCACAUUAUUCCCCGCAACUUGUUGAGCGAUGAACAUGUGUGAGCUCACCCUUGCUGUCUCACACCCCCACAUGAGAAGAACAGGUGGUUUAGAGGAGUCACGCAACGAGGAGUUUGAUUUGAUCUAGGUGGCGUCUCCCAGUUGACUUUCUAGCGCCAAGGAUGGAUUUUAGAUCCUUUUAUAUUUAUCUUUUAUUUUGUAAGACUUCCGCUAUGUAAUAAAAACUCUGAUUAUAUUGUG